GUUUUUGGUGGCCUCAAGGAAGAGCACAGUUAGCCUGUGUUCAGAGAAAGCCAAAGGGCUGGAGAGUUAAUGUCCCCAAAGCAUCCCCCAAAGUCCUGACGGAAAAGAAAGAUCAUACGUCAGAAAACAGUAUUUACACCUGGUCUGAAAUACCAAUAUCUGCUAGACCUCAUCGUUCAGUUCAGAGAUUCCUGUCAGCAGACACAAUCUCCUUCUAUCUACUAGUUCCUGCACAAAAGGCUCCCAAGGCCUCCUUCUGAGGACCACUGACACUUAACUCCAAUGAAGAAUGAAGAAUUAGAGUCAAUUUAUUACCAGCAAGUUUGAAAACAUCCCAAAG
This 340-nucleotide long non-coding RNA is filed under the name Pan troglodytes (chimpanzee). RNAcentral's name for it is "long non-coding RNA NONPTRT014662". Lineage: Eukaryota; Metazoa; Chordata; Mammalia; Primates; Hominidae. The record is from RNAcentral.